Molecule: transfer RNA, 77 nt
Filed under: Sinosporangium siamense
Lineage: Bacteria; Bacillati; Actinomycetota; Actinomycetes; Streptosporangiales; Streptosporangiaceae
Description: tRNA-Met
Rfam family: tRNA
About the family: Transfer RNA (tRNA) molecules are approximately 80 nucleotides in length. Their secondary structure includes four short double-helical elements and three loops (D, anti-codon, and T loops).
Source: RNAcentral
CGCGGGGUGGAGCAGUUCGGUAGCUCGGCGGGCUCAUAAUCCGCAGGUCGCAGGUUCAAAUCCUGUCCCCGCUACCA